UAAAAGAAAUAAAAAAAAAAUAUGGGAUACAGAAUUAUAAAAUUAUUAAUUUUCAAUGAAUAGGAAAUGAGGAGUGUAUCUUAAAGGGAUUAUGGUUAUCAUUUUCCAUCAUUCUUUUAUUGAUUCAUGAAAUGUCUCACCCAUAAACACAGUGCAUCUGUUAAAAGAAUUAAAAAUCCUGCUAAAUUAAAAAAAAAAAGUAAAUCCAACCUAUAUUAACCAGCCAGUCACAAGUCCUAAACAUUUUAAGUUGUUUAUUUUUCAUGCCCCCUCAACUGAAAUACAGGGGGAGAUUGAAUUACCCCUGUUUGUCUGUUUGUCCCUCUGUCCUUUUUUCUUCCACCCUCCCUUCCAUUCAUUUAUCUGUAAAUUAGACUUUGCAUCUACCAG
This 390-nucleotide long non-coding RNA is filed under the name Mytilus galloprovincialis (Mediterranean mussel). The record is from RNAcentral. Lineage: Eukaryota; Metazoa; Mollusca; Bivalvia; Mytilida; Mytilidae.